RNA transcript from Mangifera indica (mango), 3107 nucleotides. It is a transcript of the gene named putative clathrin assembly protein At2g25430, with no coding region annotated. The transcript has 4 exons. Lineage: Eukaryota; Viridiplantae; Streptophyta; Magnoliopsida; Sapindales; Anacardiaceae. The record is from RefSeq and is a predicted model, not a curated record.
UUUUAGCAAUUUUACCUGCGCUAUUCUCUUUGCCUAAUUCAGUCUCCUCCCAACUCAGCGCCAGAAAGAGAGAGUCCCGCUUCUAGACGGUGCAGCUUUCAGUCAGCCGGUUUGCCGUCUCUCCGAUAUUCUUUUAAAUCUAUAUAGUCUUUAUUGUACUCGUUCGUUUUGUCCAAGAGAAGUCGACAGAUCCGACUACCUUUUUGCUCACCGCAGCAUCUUCUCUCAGAUCUGACGACAACUCGGUAAAGAGGAAAAGUUGUGAAAGUUAAAUCAACGGUAGAUAUGGCGCCGAGCACAAUUCGGAAAGCGAUCGGAGCUGUUAAAGACCAGACUAGCAUAGGCAUAGCUAAGGUAGCGAGCAACAUGGCUCCAGACCUCGAAGUUGCAAUUGUCAAAGCCACGAGCCACGACGACGACCCAGCCGAUGAGAAAUACAUUCGCGAGAUCCUCAACUUAACCUCUUACUCACGUGGCUACGUUCACGCUUGUGUGUCGACCGUUUCAAAGCGUCUGGGCAAGACACGUGACUGGAUUGUGGCACUAAAGGCUCUGAUGCUUAUACACAGGCUAUUAAACGAUGGGGACCCGAUAUUUCAAGAGGAGAUCUUGUAUGCAACAAGAAGAGGAACAAGGGUCUUGAAUAUGUCGGAUUUUAGAGAUGAAGCUCAUUCGAGCUCGUGGGACCACUCAGCUUUUGUGAGAACUUAUGCCAUGUAUUUAGAUCAAAGACUUGAACUUGUUUUGUUUGAUAGGAAGGGCGGUUCUAAUUCUGUUUCAGGUUCUGGUAGUCAUCAUAAUGGAUUUGGAUCUAGAUAUGGGGAUGAUUUUCGGUCUCCCCCUCCCAGACUGAAUGAGUAUGAUUAUGGAGACUCUAGAGGCAACAGUGGUUAUGGCAAUUAUGGAAUGACCAGGAGAUCAAGAUCGUAUGGAGAUAUGAGCGAGGCUGCUGGGCGGGAAGAGAAAAAAGGUGUAGUGACUCCAUUGAGAGAAAUGAAGCCUGAGAGGAUAUUUGGAAAAAUGGGGCAUUUGCAGAGACUGCUUGAUAGGUUCCUGUCAUGCAGGCCCACGGGUCUGGCUAAGAAUAAUAGGAUGAUUUUGAUUACGUUGUAUCUGAUGGUGAAAGAGAGUUUUCAGAUUUAUUCAGAUAUUUGUGAAGUUUUGGCUGUGUUGCUUGAUAAGUUUUUUGAUAUGGAGUAUACAGACUGUGUUAAGGCCUUUGAUGCAUAUGCGAGUGCUGCAAAGCAGAUUGAUAAGCUGAUUGCUUUUUAUAAUUGGUGCAAGGAUACUGGUGUGGCGAGGUCCUCUGAGUAUCCAGAUGUUCAGAGGAUUACAAGCAAGUUAUUAGAGACUUUGGAAGAGUUUUUGAGGGAUAGAGCCAAUAGGCCCAAGAGUCCAGAGAGGAAAGAAUUGGAUGCUACUCCACGGGAGGAACCGGUACUGGAUAUGAAUGAGAUAAAGGCAUUGCCUCCUCCAGAGAAUUACACUCCUCCACCACCACUUGAACCAGAGCCUGAACCUGAACCUGAGCCUCCGAAACCACAAGUGACUGAAGAUUUAGUGAAUUUGAGGGAUGAUACAGUUACGGCCGAUGAUCAGGGGAAUAAGUUGGCAUUGGCUUUGUUUAAUGGGCCUGCGGCUGAUGGUAAUGGAUCAUGGGAAGCAUUUCCAUCAAAUGGGGAGCAGGUUACCUCGGCUUGGCAAACCCCUGCUGCUGAACCUGGCAAGGCAGAUUGGGAAUUGGCAUUGGUUGAGUCUGCCAGCAACUUGUCAAGACAGAAAGCAGCAUUGGGUGGUGGGUUUGAUCCAUUGCUGUUGAAUGGCAUGUAUGAUCAAGGAAUGGUGAGGCAGCAUGUGAGCACUUCUCAUUUGAGUGGUGGAAGUGCAAGUAGUGUUGCAUUGCCAGGGCCAGGGAAGACUUCAACACCAGUUUUGGCUCUCCCGGCUCCAGACAGAACGGUUCAGACAGUUAAUCAGGACCCAUUUGCUGCAUCAUUGAGCAUUCCACCCCCUUCAUAUGUGCAAAUGUCUGAUAUAGAGAAGAAACAGCACUUGCUUGUACAAGAGCAGCUGGUAUGGCAGCAGUAUGCAAGGGAUGGAAUGCAGGGCCAAGCUAGUUUAGCCAAGAUCACCGGUACUGGAUACUACAGUGCAGGUCCUAUGACUGUGAUGCCUUAUGGAAUGCCACCAGUAAAUGGGAUCGGACCACCAGCAGGGAUUCCCUACUCAUGAAAGCUGUUGGAAUAACCUUGAAAUGACCACACAUUGUUUUUGAGAAGUGGCCACUGGAUUCUCAGUCCAUUAAAUUUUUUGCCUCUAUUUAAAACUAAAGAAUGGCAGAAGUUGGUUCACCCAAGUUCUUUGUGUCCAAGAACCAAAAAUAAACUAGGGAUGAGAACCAGGAAACAUUUUUUUAAGGGGGUGGGGGUGAUGAAAAAGGUAUAGCUAUGAUGAACAAUGAACCUAUGCAUGAAAAUGUGUUAGCUUUUUCUUUUUUUCUUUCUUUUGGUUGAAUGAUCAACAAUAAGCAACCUUCUACCUUUUCAAUGGUACCCGAGGGAGGCAGUCUGAAUUGUUAUAUUGGCGAAAAAGGUUCUAGAUUGAUAUGAAAUUCAUAUCUUACACUUGAUAUGGAAUCAUAGAUAAUCUACAUCAUUUCCUUAAAUGUCGUCAAAAACGCAUUUAUAUUUUAUAUAGUCUAAGGUAAUUAUGAAAAAGACAGAUGAUUUCAUAGUCGAGUUGUUUGGAGAACAACUAGGUAAUACUGAAUUUUAAAUUAUAGAUAGGAUGGCCUAAGGUGUUUGUCAAUGUCAUUGAAAGCUCAACUUCAGCUCUGCGCGAGUUGUGUGGGUGUGGGACUCAGAGCAGAGCAGAGCAGAGCAGUUGAUCUGUCCCACCAAUUUCAGCUUUGGGGGGCUAUUUAUAUAACAAAGCAUAGCAUUGAAUUUUAUAAGUGAGUAUUAUAGGCCUAAAUGCAGAGGAGUGUGUAACAUGAUGUAGGGUUGGAAAUGGGUUUAAGAUCAACAAAUUAAGACUUGAGUUGAAAGUGAAGUGAUGUAAAUCAAUUUGUUUUAUGAAAAUGAAUCUAAUAAUUAAUUUAAUUUAAA